GAUGAACGCUGGCGGCGUGCCUAAUACAUGCAAGUCGAGCGAACAGACGAGGAGCUUGCUCCUCUGACGUUAGCGGCGGACGGGUGAGUAACACGUGGAUAACCUACCUAUAAGACUGGGAUAACUUCGGGAAACCGGAGCUAAUACCGGAUAAUAUAUUGAACCGCAUGUUUCAAUAGUGAAAGACGGUUUUGCUGUCACUUAUAGAUGGAUCCGCGCCGCAUUAGCUAGUUGGUAAGGUAACGGCUUACCAAGGCGACGAUGCGUAGCCGACCUGAGAGGGUGAUCGGCCACACUGGAACUGAGACAUGGUCCAGACUCCUACGGGAGGCAGCAGUAGGGAAUCUUCCGCAAUGGGCGAAAGCCUGACGGAGCAACGCCGCGUGAGUGAUGAAGGUCUUCGGAUCGUAAAACUCUGUUAUUAGGGAAGAACAAAUGUGUAAGUAACUAUGCACGUCUUGACGGUACCUAAUCAGAAAGCCACGGCUAACUACGUG
RNAcentral lists this ribosomal RNA (497 nucleotides) under uncultured bacterium. RNAcentral describes it as "partial 16S ribosomal RNA". It matches the Rfam family "Bacterial small subunit ribosomal RNA", at positions 28 to 507 of the family's 1533-position model. The record is from RNAcentral.